This 871-nucleotide long non-coding RNA is filed under the name Homo sapiens (human). Its description in RNAcentral is "HSALNT0376098". The record is from RNAcentral. Lineage: Eukaryota; Metazoa; Chordata; Mammalia; Primates; Hominidae.
AGCUUCCGGAGCAGCUGGGACUGCUGGCGCCCGCCACUACGCUCGGCUAAUUUUUUUGUGUUUUUAGUAGAGACGGGCUUUCACCGUGUUGGCCUAGCGGUUCUCCAACUCCUGACCUCAUGAUCCCCCCGCCUCAGCCUCCCAAAGUGCUGGGAUUACAAGCGUGAGCCACCGCGACCCGCCAACACUCUUGACAACAGUGCUGUGCUAAGAACUUGGGGGACUUCAAAAAGUUCACCAGUUCCUGUGUCCAUGGGUGAAAAGAUUUUCUACAUCUUUCCUUGACUAGAAACAGAAGUCCUGAAACAAGAAUAUAACGUCAGGAGGCCAGAGGCUUUGUCCUGCCUAAUGUGUUAUUUCCACACUGAAUAAAAGCACCUGAGUCCUGGUAAGUCUAAUUUGCUAGGUGUGGCAAUAUGACCAGUGAAAAACAACAAGGGCAGCAUUUCCUGCAGUUCGGUGGCACAGUAUGGUUCAAAGAGGUAUAAAAGGAAGUCACAGGCAUUUUAAAAAGGUUGUACAUCUAGCAAUACCUAACAAAAUAGGAAAUCAACUUGGAAAGCCAAUGGCUGUGUUUUGAGUUUAUGGAGAGCCAUAUGUGGCAAGGAACUGAGGGUGGCAUCCAGGCAACAGACUUCAAGAAACUGAGGCUGUCAGUCCAACAACCCACAAGAACUGAAUCUGACCAACAAUCACAGGAACAAACUUAGAAGUAUACUCUUUCCCAGACAAACCUUCAGAUGAGACCACAGCCCCAGCCAUAAGCUUGAAAACAAUCUCAUGAGGGACCUUGAGCCACAGGCAUGUAGUAAAGCUAUGCCAGGAAUCCUGCCUGCCCCACAGAAAAUGUAAAAAAAAUAAAUUUUUAUUG